Molecule: long non-coding RNA, 2579 nt
Organism: Olea europaea var. sylvestris
Lineage: Eukaryota; Viridiplantae; Streptophyta; Magnoliopsida; Lamiales; Oleaceae
Exons: 3
Source: RefSeq, a predicted model, not a curated record
CAUAAGCGAACCGGGAGGAAAUGUUUCUUCAAUUUUGGCGGCACUGACGUUGAGAUUAUUUUUGACCCUCUUUGCCCUCGUCCCCCGACCAUAGUUCCACCUCCACAAUGCAGUACCGAGCCUAAAAAUACACGAAGUGGGGUGUCAUAGUGGACAAUUUCUGGUGUUUUCUUCAAUCUGUGUGCCGACGACUUGCAGUCUCGUAGUGGGUUAAUUGAUGAAGAUUUGUACCCCGAUUACAAAGCGUCUGCGGUGUGAUGGAGGUGGAAGAAAUUACUGAGAAAGGUAAAAUCCAAACUUUGCUGAAGUUGUAGUUUGAAUAUGUACAAUUCCUUGUGUACGAAUUCGAUAUUCUCUAUUGGGUAAUGUGUUAUUUCAAUUCUUGUAUAUUGAAAUCAUAUAAUUAUGAACAUUGUUAUGGUACUUGUUUUCUUAUUUUGUUAUAACACUAAUCUAUUCCCACUCAUUUUGCCAUAGGGAAAGAAAUAGUGAAUGUGGUAGAUGACGAAGUAUUGGUAGAAUCCAAUAAUCAGAAUUCAUUGGACAAUGUAAUCAUGUUGGGAGGUGACAAUUUAGGAGGAGAUGUUGCGAACGUUCCUAAGGUUAGUAUGAAGUUCAACAAUGAGAAUGAGCUGUAUGAAUUCUACAAGAAAUAUGCGUAUGACGUUGGUUUUUCGGUGAGGGGAAGGAAUUCUAGGAAGUGUGAGGAUGGAAUAGUAAGAUAUGUUACGUUGACUUGUAAUCGUGAGAGACGACGAAGCUAUAAGACAAGCGCUUAUUUAAGGCCACAACCAACAAUUCAGACGGGCUGCAAAGUAAGGCUAACUGCUUCCGCAGAUAUUCUUGGAGUGUGGAAAAUUUGCAUGAUCGAACUCGAGAACAAUCAUAAAACAAGUCCGUCGAAAUCUAGGUUGUAUCGAUGCAAUCGAUAAUUGACUACACAUGUGAAAACGAAAGCUAGAGGUGAAUGACACGGUCGAAAUUCCUUUGCAUAAGAGUUACAACUCUACAGUUGUUGAAGCCGGCGGCUAUGAAAGUAUGAUGUUCAUAGAAAAAGAUUGUAGAAAUUACGUUGAACAAGUGAGACGAUUAAAACUAGGUGAAGGAGAUGUCGCGGCAAUACAAUCCUACUUUUCUUGAAUUCAAGCAUCUUGUUUUAGGUUUUACUUUUCUAUGGAUUUAGAGGACGAGUCAUGACUUAAGAAUCUUUUUUGGGCGGACAAAAGGUGUAGGCAAGUGUAUAAGGAGCUCGGGGACGUAGUGUUGUUUGACAUCACUUACCUCACUAAUAAAUAUGACAUGCCCUUUGCCCCAUUUGUUGGAGUAAAUCAUCACAGACAAUCAACGCUGCUUGGGUAUAGGUUGCUAUCUAUUGAGGAUACAAAUACCUUCGUGUGGUUGUUCUGGACAUGGAUGCAGUGCAUGCACGGUCAAUCUCCUAACGAAAUUAUUACCGAUCAAGACAGGGCAAUGCAAUUCAGAUAGUUUUUCCGAACACGAGACAUAGAUGGUGUUUAUGGCAUAUAUUGAAGAAGUUCCUAAAAAAAUUUGGAUAUCACAAGGAUAAGAAACAAAUAUUUUCUUGCAUACAUGGCUUAGUUUAUGACUCAUAGUUUGCUGGAGAAUUUGAGGAAUGUUGGAGAUUGAUGGUUGACACAUAUAACUUAUAUGAUAAUGAGUGGUUGUCAAGGUUGUAUAAGAAUAGGGGUCGAUGGGUUCCGUGUUAUUUGAAAACAACCUUCUGGACAGGGAUGUCAACUACUCAAUGUAGUGAGAGUAUGAAUGUGUUCUUUGUGGAUAUGUUCAUUCCAAGACAUCGUUGAAGCAAUUCGUAGAACAAUAUGAACGAGCAUUACGAAAUAAAGUUGAAAAAGCGUUUCAAGCAGAUUUUAAGUCUUCCUCGGAGAUGGUAUCGUGUGCAAUCAAAUAUGAAAUGGAAAAGCAAUUUCAGACAGCUUAUAUGAUAUCUAAGUUUCGAGAAUUUCAAGAUGACAUAACUGGAAAGAUGUACUGCGACAUCAUAUCUACAUCAAAUUGAUGUUCGGGAAAGAUAUACGAGGUCGAGAAAGAUGUAAUUUAUGAAGAAAAGGCGAGCAAGAAAUUUUUUUUGGUGUUGUUUCAUGAAGAGGAGGUCGAUAUUAUUUGUAGUUGUCAUCUUUUCGAGUUUCAGGGAAUUCUAUGUAGACAUGCCAUAUCAGUUUUGAUGCGUAAUGGCGUCACAUUGGUGCCGAAAAGGUACAUAUUGAGGAGAUGGAGGAGAGAUAUUUGUAGAGCCAACAUGAGGGUUGCAAUGAACUAUAAUGGUUUAGUUAUAUUCUUGUCAUCUAUGUAUCGAGACGAACAUAACAUUUGAAAUAUUGUAAUUUUCCAUGUCAUGUAGGCAACGUCGCCUUCAACCAAAGGGCAGAGACCGAGAUCGAUAAAGAGCAAUCUCCAAUAUGAUACUAUACUGAAUGCAAAACAUUCCAUAUUAACACCACUUUCAUGUUCACAAGUUAUAUUGGGAAAUUAAUGCAGUUGCACAACCCUUCACACCUUCAAAUUUCAUUGCUCCGUCAACAUUAAAUGUUGUUCUCAAU